ACUGAUAAAAAAAAAAUGUCGUUAGAAUAUAGUAGUACUACAUGGUACAGUACAUUAAUAGAAUAUAAAUUUUAGUGUUUAAAAAACUGAUAUUUUUCGGGGAAAGUUUCAUAAAUAGACAAUUUCAACUGGAAUUUCCUUUAUUAUAGAAAAUUCUACAAAGUCAUUCAGAACAAUUGUAAAAUAUAUUUAUUUAAUUUUAAAAUGGCUUAGUCAUUACAGCUAAUAAGGUGUGUUUAUUUAAUAUUCAUGGUUUGUUAAAAUAUUAGGAUUAAAGAAAAUUAUUCUUUUACAAAAAUAUUUAAGCUUACAAUGCUAAUUUUAAUGUAUUCCAUGUCCUCUUACUUGUCUAGAAUGAUAGUUACAACAUAUAAACAACUUUUAUUGGUAUAAACUAAAACCUUAUAGGGAUUUCUAUAUAAGUUUGAAUUAAUCUCAGCAAUUACAUGAGUCUUAAAGUUUUUUUUUUCCAUACAUUCUUAUGAGGAAAUAAAUGCCAAAAGGAAAGUUAAAGAGUAAGAAAGUAAUUAUUUGUUAAUCAAUUGAAUUAAAUAAAUAAAAAAAUAAAUAAAUAUAAUUGUAGGUGUAGUUUUUCCUUGUAGUAGAGUAUUUUAAAUAAAUACUUCAACUCGCACACAAAUCUUUUUAGGAGUAAUAUUUUAAAUCUAUAUCAAAACAAAUUCCUCUUGUGAUAAAACAUUUUAAUAGAGGAUAUUUAGAAAAUUGGGGUACAUAAUCAAGGAUUUCCUGGCCUAAAUCAAAUCUAUUUAAAAUAUUUCUAUUAGUUAUGUUAAAGUUCUAGCUUAGAUUAACAAGUUUAAAGGGUAACUAGCUUCUCAUGUAUCAGUUUAGUAAUUAAUUGAGGAAGUUAUCCCAUUAUACAAUAUUUAGAGCGUACAUAGUAUAGGAAAUAUUAUGCAAUGGAAAUGAAAUUUCUAGUAUAAAAAUUUAAUAAUAACAAUCAUACAUUACAGGUAAUUAUACCUUUUUCUGAUAAUAAAGAAUAAGUUUAAAAAAAAAAAAGAUAAAAACAGACAUAAGACUACAUUUAGAUAAAUAAAAUUAAGAUAAUGUUGUUAUUUUAUCACACAGUCCAGGAUAAACCAAGUCCAAAGAUUAUUUAAAAAUACAUAAAAAUAUUUAAUAAAAUUUAUUUUAAAUUUAAAUGUCAACUAAAUUAAGCGAUUUUUCCUCUUUUCUAUAUCUUUUGUUCCCUUUCAGAAAUGCAAUUAAUUUAAAAAAAAAAAAAAUUCAGCAGUAAACAAUAAUAAAGGAAAACGAGCAGAGACCAAAGGUGAUUCAUAUGUCAUACUUAAGAAAAAUGCAAUUGUUCCUUAAAAGAUACAAAAGUCACACGCCGUCCUUGUGUCUGCUAAACGCUGCAAAGAGAUUUUUGGAAAAACUCCAGAAACUUAUUUCUAAAAGGAGCAUCACUGAAUCCUUAAGAAGUAAACUAUUUACGUUCGAAAACCCUUCAGUCACGUGUCCAAUCUGGCAAACUUUUAACAGACCUUGAAAGUACUCAGUCGUAUCGAAAACAUA
This is a long non-coding RNA of Centruroides sculpturatus (bark scorpion), 1542 nucleotides long. RefSeq lists it as uncharacterized. The transcript has 2 exons. The record is from RefSeq and is a predicted model, not a curated record. NCBI's taxonomy places the organism in Eukaryota, Metazoa, Arthropoda, Arachnida, Scorpiones, Buthidae.